CAGCCGUAAACUAUGCUCGCUAGGUGUCAGGCAUGGCGCGACCGUGUCUGGUGCCGCAGGGAAGCCGUGAAGCGAGCCACCUGGGAAGUACGGCCGCAAGGCUGAAACUUAAAGGAAUCGGCGGGGGAGCACAACAACGGGUGGAGCCUGCGGUUUAAUUGGACUCAACGCCGGACAACUCACCGGGAACGACAGCAAUAUGUAGGCCAGGCUGAAGACCUUGCCUGAAUCGCUGAGAGGAGGUGCAUGGCGUAGACGUCU
This 261-nucleotide ribosomal RNA is filed under the name uncultured archaeon. RNAcentral's name for it is "partial 16S ribosomal RNA". It matches the Rfam family "Archaeal small subunit ribosomal RNA", at positions 748 to 1009 of the family's 1478-position model. The record is from RNAcentral.